CCAAUGCAGCUGCUUUACUUCCUCUUCUGCUUCGUCUUGAUUCCAAUUUCAAAUUCAAAAUUCAAAUUCAUAUCAUGUAAUCGGAUUCAAACUCUUCAAUCUCUUUCAUGUCAAAACUCUCCAACCUCGCACCUCCGUCUGCUCCAUGUAAUUCCCUCCCCCCUCUCUCCCUUCGCGAAUCUCUGUCUUUCUUCCUGAAUCUCUCUCUCUCUCUCCUCUAUCUCCCUCUCUCCGGCUGUGUCCCAUAUCUCUCUCUGUUUCUUCAUAUCUGGGUCACUCUCUCUCUCUCUCUCUAUUUCACUGGCCCUCUUUUUUAGUAUAUAUACAGCAGAGGCUAAUGAAUUUUGAAGGAAUGAUGAAAGUUGUGGACUAGAGCAGGAGAGGUACAAGAUAAGUGAAUUUGGAGAAUUUUGUUGGGUUGGGCUGUAAAUAGAAGGGACCUUACUAACACAGUCAACUCGAGCUUUCCCUAAAAUUUCGAAGCUUCCAAAGAUGCCACUGAAGCAUAAGUGUCUAAAACGAUGGUUUGGAAGUGAUGGGGUUUUCUUUUACUGAUUUAGGUAUCUACUCUCAUCACAAUGGGCGUUUCUCUUGAGGAUUCAUUUAGAAGUGAUGAUAUAAAUGCUCCAUACCUGGGCACAGAGCUGCCUAGCUUGCCGAGUGUAUGCAUGUCAACUACGUAUUAUUUCUACCUUACCUUAGUUUUUAUACACUGUUACUUGCACAAAGUGUUGAGUUUAAUUUCUUAUUUGAGUUUAAUAACUUAUUUGCCUGUUGGAAUGAAUUUUAUACACACCGAGUAUAUUGAAAUUAAACAGUAAUACAACACUCCCACACACCGAGGAAUAAGUACUUCUGAGGUGUAUAACUUCUGGCUCGAGUUCUUCACAUCUGUGAGGAAUCACCAACUAUUUUAUGUGUGCGUGUCAAAAAAUACUACUUAAAUUAAUUAGUCUAAACAUAUAACUUUUACUAUUUCGUAUUCAUACAACAUCAUGUUGGAUGCGUCUCAAUAACCUUUCUUCUGUAUCAUUUCCACAAGUGUAUAUGUCUCGAGGAAAAAGCCACUUUCAAAAUAGACGAAGGACUACAAUCUUUCAGUUUGUCACAAAAGAGCCACUACUGACCAACAUGGGCAUUUCUUUUACGGAGGUUGCUGUUGGGGCUGGCUAUGCUAUUACUUAAAUGGAGUUCCAAUUGGAGUUUUGCUUGGCUAUUCUAACCAGUUGCAAUUUAAAGGGAGUGUCUUCAUCUCCCUCUGAGUUAUAUUGACUUGAUUGAAUGUGUAGUUUUCUUUAAAAAAUUUGUACAAAUUACAAAUAUUUUAAGUUUAGUAGAGCAUUUGUAUUAUCUGGACUGAUGCUAAUGUAAUAGUAUUUUGUUUAGAUAUGAGGAUGAGCUAAUGGAGCCGGAGCUUGAUAUGAGGAAUUUCUUUUCAACUGUCUGAAUUUAUUGAUGCUUUUUGUGAUAUUUGUGUGUGUAUUGAAAUUAUGAGUGAUUAAUAUGUAGGAAGGAGCAGAGGUGGAUGUUGAUGCAGAUGCAAAUAGGGAAGAUGAUUUGGCUGAUCCUCUGUUGGCUGACGGUGAAGAGAAACAGGAAGAGAAACCAGCAGAACGGCCUCGGAAAACAUUAAAAAAUAUGACAAGGUAUGAACGUGCAAGAAUCCUAGGGACACGGGCCCUGCAGAUAAGGAAGGUUCUUAUCUUAUUGAAAUAUUUGUUUAAGUAUUAUUUUGGGUUCAACUUGAUAUUUCUGAAUAAAAUUUACCCUGGCUUUACUAAAUCAGCAUGAAUGCUCCUGUGAUUGUUGAGUUGGAGGGUGAAACUGAUCCAAUUGAGGUAAAUAAUACCUUCAAAUCUUUUUUCUUUUCACUCUUAAGAGAACUCCACCCUGAACUAGGCUCAAACAACCCACAUCGUCACCUUUUUUUGGUGUAAUAGUGUUUCUUUAUGUUCUGAAAUUAGUUGUUUGUGAUCUUAUCCUUUAUCCGAAAAGAGGCCAGGUGUUCUCUUGAAGUAACUGCUACUCCCUCUGUCCCAUUUUAACUGAUGUUUGACUUUUUAACACGUAUAUUUAGGUGUAAAAAUGACAUACCUACACUUAAUAAAAAUAUUCAAUUCUUAUAUCAAAUAAAAAUUUAGAUUCUAAACUUUUAUUUGAUAUAAAUUUUAUAAAAAAUAGUUAUGUUUAGAUGUGAUUUUUUUAACAUCUUAAAAUACGUGUAAAAAAGUCAAAAGCAGUUAAAAUGGGACGGAGGGAGUAUAUGAAACAUUAAAAUCAAUUCAUCUUUUUGAGAUUACUUGCAUAAUUAAUGGCAUGAUCUCCAAUUAUCUUGCUUAUCUGACAAGCAAUGAACAUUGACGACUUGCUGCUUCCAAAUUUGCUGAGUUCUUUUUGCAAAUAAAGAAAUUUAGAAAAAGUGAAAUUCUAAAUUUCAGAAGGGUGGUGUUGGAAAUUAUUUAUGGCAAGAGAUCAAAGGGUACAAGUGAAUAGGAGUGUAGUUCUGGACUUGAUUUUCAAAUUAUAUGUCAAGGCUUACGGGGAAAGGCACUAAGAUCUUCCCCCCAUUAACAAACCCCAUAGGAAAUUAGGAACUCAUUUUUUCUCUAGGCUAUGACUAUUAUGGUGAUAUGUGGAUGUGCAUGUGUGAUGUCUGGCUAUUCAAUGUCUAGGCUCUGUCUCCUAAGAUUCAUAUUUUGGAUGUGCAUGUGUGAUGUCUGGCUAUUCAAUGUCUAGGCUCUGUCUCCCAGUAAGAUUCAUAUUUUGCUAUUGACGUUUAAUUUGUAAGAUUCAUAUUUUGCUACUGACGUUUAAUUUGUAGAAAUUUAAUGUGAUACUGAUUUCUUGCUUUUGACUAA
Long non-coding RNA from Daucus carota subsp. sativus, 2858 nucleotides. RefSeq lists it as uncharacterized. The record is from RefSeq and is a predicted model, not a curated record. The transcript is spliced from 4 exons. Lineage: Eukaryota; Viridiplantae; Streptophyta; Magnoliopsida; Apiales; Apiaceae.